Molecule: long non-coding RNA, 684 nt
Organism: Amphibalanus amphitrite
Lineage: Eukaryota; Metazoa; Arthropoda; Thecostraca; Balanomorpha; Balanidae
Exons: 4
Source: RefSeq, a predicted model, not a curated record
UGACAGUGGGAAGACGGGAGUCUUCUGUUACAGGCGGGAGCUGGCGACCGCAGAGUGUCGAGUGCCCCACGGAGCGUGCAGUGCUGAGAGCUGAGAACGAACUUGGUCAGGCGGAGAUGCUUGAGGUUCUAUUGCAUCUUUGAAUGUGACUUAUGAACUGACCCAGCGGUAAUUGACAAUACCUGGCAGUGCUCGUGGAGACUGCCCUGGGGUACUCCAGUUGACCUGUCCGGUGACCUGACUUUGGACGACCGUGGAGACCUCCGUCAGCCUGGAAGAGUGCGGCUGCAUCACGAGCCAGCAGGAUGUGCGCACAGAGGCGCCCCUCAGCGACAGCAGAGAUGUCAGCCCGGUGGAGGCGCGGCGGCUCUUCACGGCCGAGGAGGUGUGCCUGGUGCUGCUUGUGCUGCUCCUCUGGGUGGCGGCUAUCGCUCUCUUCAUCAACCGCUGGGGCAAGAUCCGGAUGCUGGAGCCCUGUCUGCCCUACAAGCUGGCGACACUUGGAGCAGAAACGCCAAUGACAGUGCAGAACUCGCGGAUGAACUCCACUGAAGAGGAGCCGGCAACGUCCCCGAGCUGUCGACGUCAGUUGUCCCUAAUGACCCCUGCCGGCACCCAGCUGUCGGCACCGCGCCGGGUCAAGUCGGCCGUUGAUCUCGUGUCGUUGGUGAUGGCUGAGCAGCU